UACAUGUUUGUUUGAGGAGAGCAGAGUUGUACUCACUUCCUCUAUCUGAUAUCAGUUGUUUGAUUAUUUUUUUUAGUCGAUUUUUUACUUUUUUAUUGUAAGCCAAAAACUUCUAUUCAGCUUUAUCCUUUUUUUUUAGUAAAUAGACUUUGGGGUACUUAGAGAAAUUAUCGAUAAAGGUUAUAUAAUAUUUUUUCACCUUUAUUUUCAAUGUAUUUUAAAACAGCCAAAUCAGAAUAAAUAAAUUCAAGAAGAAUAGAAGCAAGAAAAGCAACAGAAGAG
This 282-nucleotide long non-coding RNA is filed under the name Linum usitatissimum (flax). RNAcentral's name for it is "long non-coding RNA (LUSI_LNC005010)". The record is from RNAcentral. Lineage: Eukaryota; Viridiplantae; Streptophyta; Magnoliopsida; Malpighiales; Linaceae.